CCAGCCCUGCUGCGUGCGUGAUGGUCCGAAGUAGUUUUGAGCCAACACUCAAGACAAAGGGACCCGAGUUCGGCCGUUGAGUGGUAGCCCCUGCGGGGGUGGCACGGAUGCGGACGGUAGGGUUCCACCCGUGGGAGCACGGGUUCAGAAACUAUGGGACCACACGGCGUGGCGGGGCUUUG
This 182-nucleotide non-coding RNA is filed under the name Armatimonadota bacterium. RNAcentral describes it as "Armatimonadetes bacterium (anaerobic digester metagenome) 6S RNA". It matches the Rfam family "6S / SsrS RNA". Rfam says of the family: E. coli 6S RNA was the first non coding RNA to be sequenced, but its function was unknown until recently. It consists of 184 nucleotides that fold into an extended hairpin structure with a large single-stranded internal bulge. Lineage: Bacteria; Bacillati; Armatimonadota. The record is from RNAcentral.